GUUGAAAUUCUGGUUCUCAUACGAUCAUCGAAGUUAAGCAACGUCGAGCCGGGUCAGUAUCUAGAUGGGUGGCGGCUUGGGAAUAUUAUGUGCUGUAU
Acanthosepion pharaonis is the source of this 98-nucleotide non-coding RNA. The record is from the annotation of a GenBank genome assembly. Lineage: Eukaryota; Metazoa; Mollusca; Cephalopoda; Sepiida; Sepiidae.